AGGCCACUCGAGCUUCACCGUCCCUGCCACGAUCCAGUCAGUCGCCGUCCCGAUUCAGUCCGCCGCUGCCUCGAUUCAGUUAUCCGCCCCACGUUUCAAUCCGCCGCCAACUCCGGCGUCGUCCCUGUACUCCUCCUCUUCGAUUCAGUCCUCUAGCGGUGGCGUGCCCAAGUGGGAGGCGGCUCGAGAAGGCGGCGGACUGCGAGCCCCCGACAGACGGCGUGCUCGGUCAGGCGUGCGUUGGGCGUCGCCGCGUCAGGUCGCACACACGGGUUUUUCUCAGGUGAGAAAAAAUUCUAAUGAAGAUUCAUGGCGGCUUGCGGUCAGGCUGAUGGUGCUCCCCACAGGGGAAGCUGGAACGAUGGCGAGUUAUUUUAUCUGUCGCUAUGCGACUUCGUUGUGCUACGUGUCUCUAGAUGAGAUAGAAAGAUGCAUGGAAAUAGGACUCAUGUGCACCCAAAUAGAGCGGGGAGGCCAACCCACCAUGCCGGAUGUUUUCGAGAUGCUAAAUCAGUAAACUUCAAGAAUAAGGGCUUGUUUGGGAGGGCUUCACUCCACCUAAACUUCACUCCAUCUCUAAACUCCACUCCACCUCUAAAAUGCGAUCAGCUCCAGACUGCAAUUUUCUUUCUUUAGAGAGGAUGAGAAAAAGGAAUGGAUAAAUUAUUCAAUAGAGUUAUUCAGUGCACCAUCUAAUGGGUAAAAAGGAGUAAACAUAUAUAUGUAUUGCCAAUCUGGGCAUACAACAAUUUGGUACCAAAUUUCUAGUUGUGAUAUAUGAACAAGACCUAGCAAAUUCAUGCACACAAAAGAUACAGGAGAGGAUGAGAAAAACAUGUGAGAGGAAACAAAAGAAGAAGGCGUGCUACCUACUAGUUCCAGGUGCAAUAGACGGACAAGAGGAAUCAAAGAAAAGAAUAACUUGCUGGAGAUGCCGACAAGAGGAAUCAGACAAAAAAGUGGGAACGGGGACUGGUGGAGGGGGAUGGCAAAGCGGUAUCGCGGGAGAUCGACCGCGGGCUCGACGGAAAGGGAGCACGCGGGCUCGCCGGAGAUGGACGCGGCCGGCUCUGCUAGCGCUGAAGACGAGCCGCCAGAACUCGUCUCUGUCUGUCGAUGGGAGGAAGAUGAAGCACACUCGGGGCCUGGGGCCGAGAAAAUAACGGUUCGGGUUCCAUAAUGCCAUUGGUGGGUAAAUUACUUCAACUUUAGGUGAAGUGAAACAGGUGAAGCAUCUCUUUCUUGGCUCCAGUUAAAUGAACUAGAGAGUAAUACUGCUCCACUUCACUUGGUAAAUGGAGUUUAGAGUGUUUGGGUCAACUUCAUCUGUUUCAUUGGUGAAGUUAUGAAGUGGAGCUGUACCAAACAGGCUCUGAAAACAGGGCCUGAUCAGGCAAAUUGAUUUUACUACCCGCGUCACUUGUCCUCCUUGAUUGGGAGCACCACUCAGCAAAAUAAAGAUCUCGCUGGGAUAUAUUUGGAAUCUGGAAGGAUGUGUGUGAAAAUAACACUUUUGGAUGAUAAUUUCGUUCUAUGUAGGAGCAGAAUACUUCCUCCCAUGACCUGCUUUUAGGAUGCAGCUGCAGCAAGCUCUGUUUUCCCAUCAGGAAAACGAAUGUAUAUUGAUACCGUCUGGAACAUAUUUUUUAUGUAACACAACACUAACAAAAUUGUGGACAGCUCGAAAGUUUGUUGAUUUUUUAAGACUAGAAGAACUAUUGAUUUUCCUUUU
Brachypodium distachyon (stiff brome) is the source of this 1732-nucleotide long non-coding RNA. RefSeq lists it as uncharacterized. The transcript is spliced from 2 exons. NCBI's taxonomy places the organism in Eukaryota, Viridiplantae, Streptophyta, Magnoliopsida, Poales, Poaceae. The record is from RefSeq and is a predicted model, not a curated record.